RNAcentral lists this small RNA (360 nucleotides) under Notechis scutatus (mainland tiger snake). RNAcentral describes it as "sRNA (ENSNSUG00000006520.1)". Lineage: Eukaryota; Metazoa; Chordata; Lepidosauria; Squamata; Elapidae. The record is from RNAcentral.
UCAGCUACAGGUGGAUUCAGGUUAAUCCCUAUAAGGAUUAGUCUUAGAUAAGCAGGAAGAAGCAGGCUUUUUGAAACAAGGUCAUGCUCCUUUUUUUGUUUUUUUGCACAGGAAUCAACAAGGAUGUUAUAUAACUUCUAUUUAUAUUCAACUGGCUAGUAGCUGCAGGCAUACAAAACAAGCAAAGGGAGGAAUUUAAUGAGCUCUGAGGGUUUGCUCACCUUCUCAAGCUGGUAGAGACAGCUUGAGAUCUUUUGGUCAUUUUUUUUUUGUUAUGCGUCAGCAAAUGAAGCUAGUGGGUGGAGUGGGUAGGUGGACUGACUGGUUGCCAUGGUUUUCUUCAGUUCCCUUUUCUGUGCU